AGUUUUGAUUGAGCUGCAUUACGAGAGGACCGGGAAGGACGCACCUCUGGUGUACCAGUUAUCGUGCCCACGGUAAACGCUGGGUAGCCAAGUGCGGAGCGGAUAACUGCUGAAAGCAUCUAAGUAGUAAGCCCACCCCAAGAUGAAUGCU
RNAcentral lists this non-coding RNA (151 nucleotides) under Nelumbo nucifera (sacred lotus). RNAcentral describes it as "Bacterial large subunit ribosomal RNA". It matches the Rfam family "Bacterial large subunit ribosomal RNA", at positions 2658 to 2812 of the family's 2925-position model. The record is from Rfam by way of RNAcentral. Lineage: Eukaryota; Viridiplantae; Streptophyta; Magnoliopsida; Proteales; Nelumbonaceae.